RNAcentral lists this ribosomal RNA (274 nucleotides) under uncultured bacterium. Its description in RNAcentral is "partial 16S ribosomal RNA". It matches the Rfam family "Bacterial small subunit ribosomal RNA", at positions 523 to 796 of the family's 1533-position model. The record is from RNAcentral.
AUACGGAGGGUGCGAGCGUUAUCCGGAUUUAUUAGGUUUAAAGGGUGUGUAGGCGGGAGCCUAAGUCAGUGGUGAAAUCUCACAGCUUAACUGUGAAACUGCCAUUGAAACUGGGUUUCUUGAGUAUAGUUGAGGUAGGCGGAAUGUGUAAUGUAGCGGUGAAAUGCAUAGAUAUUACACAGAACACCGAUUGCGAAGGCAGCUUACUAAGCUAUUCCUGACGCUGAUGCACGAAAGCGUGGGUAGCGAACAGGAUUAGAAACCCUAGUAGUCC